GACGAACGCUGGCGGCGUGCUUAAUACAUGCAAGUCGAACGGAGAGGGCGGGCUUUUGUGGGGUGCUCGAGUGGCGAACGGGUGAGUAACACGUGGGUAACCUGCCUGUUACUGUGGGAUAACUUUUGGAAACUGUGGCUAAUACCGGAUAGUAGCACAUGCUGCAUGGCGUUGGUUGGAAAGGUGCGGUGGCUUGGCUAGGACGUGGGGCUGCUUAGCUUCUGGGUGGUGGAGGGGAGUAGAAAGGCCUAGACGGGUAGCCAGACUGGGAGGGUGACCGGCCACAGUGGGACAGAGAUACGACCCAGACGGAUACGGGAGGCAGCAGUGGGGAUUAUUGCGCGAUGGGCGGAGUGCUGAUAGAGCGACGUCGCGUGCGAGAUGACGGUCGUAGGGUUGUAAACCGCGUUAGCCUGUGACGAAGAGUGUGUGACGGUAAUGUGUAAAGAAGCACCGGCUAACUACGUG
RNAcentral lists this ribosomal RNA (468 nucleotides) under uncultured bacterium. Its description in RNAcentral is "partial 16S ribosomal RNA". It matches the Rfam family "Bacterial small subunit ribosomal RNA", at positions 28 to 507 of the family's 1533-position model. The record is from RNAcentral.